GAUGAACGCUGGCGGCGUGCCUAAUACAUGCAAGUCGAGCGAACGGACGAGAAGCUUGCUUCUCUGAUGUUAGCGGCGGACGGGUGAGUAACACGUGGAUAACCUACCUAUAAGACUGGGAUAACUUCGGGAAACCGGAGCUAAUACCGGAUAAUAUUUUGAACCGCAUGGUUCAAAAGUGAAAGACGGUCUUGCUGUCACUUAUAGAUGGAUCCGCGCUGCAUUAGCUAGUUGGUAAGGUUACGGCUUACCAAGGCAACGAUGCAUAGCCGACCUGAGAGGGUGAUCGGCCACACUGGAACUGAGACACGGUCCAGACUCCUACGGGAGGCAGCAGUAGGGAAUCUUCCGCAAUGGGCGAAAGCCUGACGGGGCAACGCCGCGUGAGUGAUGAAGGUCUUCGGAUCGUAAAACUCUGUUAUUAGGGAAGAACAUAUGUGUAAGUAACUGUGCACAUCUUGACGGUACCUAAUCAGAAAGCCACGGCUAACUACGUG
RNAcentral lists this ribosomal RNA (497 nucleotides) under uncultured bacterium. Its description in RNAcentral is "partial 16S ribosomal RNA". It matches the Rfam family "Bacterial small subunit ribosomal RNA", at positions 28 to 507 of the family's 1533-position model. The record is from RNAcentral.